CCUACGGGAGGCAGCAGUGAGGAAUAUUGGUCAAUGGGCGCGAGCCUGAACCAGCCAAGUAGCGUGAAGGAUGACUGCCCUACGGGUUGUAAACUUCUUUUAUAAAGGAAUAAAGUGAGGCACGUGUGCGUUUUUGGAUGUACUUUAUGAAUAAGGACGGGCUAACUCCGUGCCAGCAGCCGCGGUAAUACGGAGGUUCCGUGGGUUAUCCGGAUUUAUUGGGUUUAAAGGGGGUGUAGAUGGGUUGUUAAGUCAGUUGUGAAAGUUUGCGGCUCAACCGUAAACUGGCCAUUGAUCCUGGCAGUCUUGAGUACAGUUGAGGUAGGCGGAAUUCGUGGUGUAGCGG
This 346-nucleotide ribosomal RNA is filed under the name uncultured bacterium. Its description in RNAcentral is "partial 16S ribosomal RNA". It matches the Rfam family "Bacterial small subunit ribosomal RNA", at positions 338 to 681 of the family's 1533-position model. The record is from RNAcentral.